This is a long non-coding RNA of Ipomoea nil (Japanese morning glory), 100 nucleotides long. RefSeq lists it as uncharacterized. NCBI's taxonomy places the organism in Eukaryota, Viridiplantae, Streptophyta, Magnoliopsida, Solanales, Convolvulaceae. The transcript is spliced from 3 exons. The record is from RefSeq and is a predicted model, not a curated record.
AAGUGGUAAGGGACUGGCCAAAUGGUUUGCUCCAUUCACAUGGGUGGAGAUCGAACUCUCAACCUCAUGCUUAAGGGACGAGGAAAAAAAGGUAAAUUGU